This 468-nucleotide ribosomal RNA is filed under the name uncultured bacterium. Its description in RNAcentral is "partial 16S ribosomal RNA". It matches the Rfam family "Bacterial small subunit ribosomal RNA", at positions 28 to 507 of the family's 1533-position model. The record is from RNAcentral.
GACGAACGCUGGCGGCGUGCUUAACACAUGCAAGUCGAACGGAAAGGCCCUGCUUUUGUGGGGUGCUCGAGUGGCGAACGGGUGAGUAAGACGUGAGUAACCUGCCCUUGACUUUGGGAUAACAUCAGGUAACUGGGGCUAAUACCGGAUAGGAGCUCCUGCUGCAUGGUGGGGGUUGGAAAGUUUCGGCGGUCGGGGAUGGACUCGCGGCUUAUCAGCUUGUUGGUGGGGUAGUGGCUUACCAAGGCUUUGACGGGUAGCCGGCCUGAGAGGGUGACCGGCCUCCUUGGGCCUGCGAGAGGGACCAGACUCCUACGGGAGGCAGCAGUGGCGAAUCUUGCACAGUGGGCGGAAGCCUGAUGCAGCAACGCCGCGUGCGGAAUGACGGCCUUCGGGUUGUAAACCGCUUUCGCCUGUGACGAAGCGUGAGUGACGGUAAUGGGUAAAGAAGCACCGGCUAACUACGUG